Molecule: long non-coding RNA, 3939 nt
Filed under: Salmo salar (Atlantic salmon)
Lineage: Eukaryota; Metazoa; Chordata; Actinopteri; Salmoniformes; Salmonidae
Description: lncRNA (ENSSSAG00000097534.1, ENSSSAG00000109109.1)
Source: RNAcentral
GUCUUUUAAGAGAGAGUUUUUCCGACCGAUUGUCGACAGAGCGGACUGGUGUGAAUUGUAUUGGAAGGUCGGAAAGCCCAGCUGCGUUGUUUAAUGCACGUUAUUGUGGACAUGAGCAGAACUCCGGAAGGGGAAAAUAGAGUCUCUAGAGAAAGCAAGUAAAAGAUUGGUGUCAGGGAUGGAGCGGCAGUAUUAUGAUAAUGAGACGUGUACUUGGAAAACGGAGAAGGAAUGGAGGGAAAGAGAGAGGGAGAAGAGGGUGAGCUUGAGUCGGAUAAAAAUUGUGGGAAAAAUGUAGAUGAUUUGUCAAAGAAGAAUGGUAGAAAGUGUAAGCAGCGGGAGCUGAAGACAGGAGGAGAAAUGGAAGUGAAUAAGGGCGAAGUAUCGGAGGUGGUAGGUGCGGUAAAGUUAUCGGAGACCGAGGUAUGUACGGAGGAUCAGGAUGAAGAAGAGUCUGACAGUAGGAGUGAAGUUUAUGGAAAAAGUGGACUCUUGCCUUUUGUCUGAUCCAUUUGUGGUUUCACGGUGGGUGAAAAAAGAGUUGGGUCAUGUGGAAUCGGUGAGGGUAACUAGAGGGGGUCUAGUGAUAAUUGUUUGUGUUUAUUUUGGGCAGAGGAAGAAUGCGCUCGAAGUAAAACGAAUGGGGGCAAGCAAAGUGAAUGUUUCGUUCUCAAGAAAAGGGCACCAAUGAAAGGAGUGAGAACUGGGGAAGCAGUAGAUAUAAACGUUGACCAGCUGAGGGCAAAUAUUCCCGGUGUAUGUGAUGCUCGUCGUUUGAUGCGACGCAGACAGGGUGGCGAGAGUGGGGAAACAGAAGAGUCAUUGUCUGUUCUUUUGAGUUUUGAAAUUGAGUCUGUGCCUGACAAAGUGAAGUUAGAAUAUGUGUUAUCCUGUACGAGCGUAUGUGCCGAAUACAUUAAGAUGUUACAGGUGUCAAGCUUAUGGGCAUGUGGCAGAAGUGUGCAGGAGGGAGGGUUCAAGGUGUGAGAAAUGUGCAGAAGGGCAUGAGACAAAGGAAUGUUUAGUAUUUGGGAAAGUAGUGGAAUGUGUUAAUUGUAGGGGUGCCCAUGGAGCUGGGGAUCAGAAAUGUCCCAUGCAAGAGAGGCAGAUUGAGGUUUCUAGGGUUAGAGUAGAGCAGAAGUUGUCAUGCUGAGGCAGUGAAGAAAGUAUAGGAAGUUGGGUUAAGGGGGAGGAGUGGUGAGAGUAGUAGAGCUAUACCAGUACAGAGGGAUAGGACAAAAAGUGAAAUAAGUUUCAGUACGAUUGGAUUUUUAGCAUUUAUAUCAAUGGUUAUUAAUUGUACUGCAGGGAUGGAUUGGAAAAUUUAGGUUGUGGUGAGGUAUUUGGGUGUGCGAGACUUGACAACAGAAGAGUUACAGGAUGUGUUAAGUGGUGAUGUUCCAUCCUUUUAGGGUGAUGGCAUGAGGUAGGAAUACAUACAUUUAAUUAGUGGAGUAGGGGGGUGUUAAUUUAAUUGUAUAUCAUUUUGACAUUAGUGAGUAUACUGUUAGAUGGUAGGGUAUUUAUUUAUACAUUUUUAUUUUUCAAGUAAAGUAUAAGGGAGUUGUACUCCAGUCUAGUAGGUGGUGGUAAUACAACAAAUUGGAUGCCAACCGCCGUUAAAAGACACACUUCUUCUUCUAUGAGGUUUAAGUGUUUGACCGUCAAUCGUCCACAUGGCUGGCUGCCACCGGAAACUUCAGGAAGAUUGCCCAUUAUUUGUAUUUUUUUCCUAUGGCCCCAGAAAAGUGAGGCAGUGGGAGAACCUAUUCAAGUAGGUAGCCUGCUAACGAUCAUGGAAGACGGUGAAAGGAUUCGCUAGCAGUUCUAGAUGUCAGAGAAGGGAGAGCAGGCUACUCUGGAUAGAGCAGAGAGCCAUGGGACCUCUUCAUCUGCAGGCAGUUUCAAUCAAUGUCCCAAGAGAAUAAGGGAGAUCAGCCAUGUGGGGGGCGGCAGGUAGCGGUUAGAGCGCUGGGCCAGUAACCGAAAGGUUGCUUGAUCGAAUCCCCGAGCUGACAAGUGACGCCGAAUUAUAAUCACCGCAACCAGAAAGGCAGCCUCACCCCGACUCCACUAUCCUGUCUGCCCGGUGAAUGAAGAAUCCAUCGAGUUAGAUAGCCGUGGGGGGCAUAUUGUCUGAGAGCCACGUUUCUGAAAAGCAAGGAACAUUGCAAUAGUUGGGCCAUAAGAAAUACUUUUUAUUCAAUGGGGCUAGGCAAAGCAAAGAUGACAGAAUACUUGUCUUUUCACUUAGACAACAAUAUAGCUUGAAGUACAGUAUGUUUACAAUAUCAACAAGUCUUUUAAACGUUCCAAAUUACAUUAUAUUCAUACAGUGUAAGGGGGCACUUUUGUCAUGACAAGGUGCUCUACUCAAUUGACAACAGAAUAAUUGUCCAAAGCACAGCAUAUGACAACCAUGUCAUAUAACUGAGGGAUGUCUUCUUUCAUGUCUGGAAAAAGAUGAAGAAGUAGUAGAAACUGAUGCUGCUGCAGCAUUACCCAUCUUCACAGGGGGAAUCCAGUCAACAUGGGUGUCUUGAUAUAGGUCAGCUGGUGAACCUACAGUACAUCAACAAAUGAGAAGCACACCUGACGUUAGAAUAUCAAAUCUUCAGGUCACCUAUACCAUCGCGGCUCUUAAGUGUUUGGUUGUGUUUAAUUCAUUCAGGUGUUUUAGUGUCAUAAAGAUUAAAUAUAUUGUUGGGCUGGAACAACUAUUACCAUUGGUUGCUCCAGCCUUUUUGAGGCCUUUGUCCUAUGCGGUAAUGUCCAUACAUUUUCCCUCAUUUUAUGAAUAAAGUUAUAAAAUUAUCAUUGGAUUAUCAUUUUUUGAACAAUAAUUUCCUUCAGAAUAUAUGGACGUCAUAUUGUACAAUUUGUGUCUACCCUUUUCAUGGUCAUGGCAAGAAGGGAACCAGCUUUUGUAAAAUGAACGUAAUAUUUUACAUUUCAUAGCCGAUACUGAGAAUUUAAGCAGCAGGUUAGAAGAAUUAGGUUAAGGCUGUGAAAAAAGUUAAGGUUAGCUAAAAAACAAAAUAAAACUUUUUAUGUAAAUUUGAGAAAAGCUGGAUCCCUUUAAGCAAAGACCCCUUUUCGGCCUAGAUUACAUGGUUGUUUUCAAGACAAGGUCGUUCUAAUUGAUCUGCUGUCAGUAGAGUAGGCCUAGACUACCAUCGUAUUAAAAAAGAUUAUGUUAAUAUCUCCAGUGAUAUAAAGUGUAGUAGAAUUGCAUUUAAUGUUAUCAAAGGCCACAUUUUUCCCGUGCAAAGGAAAGAAACGUCUCUGAUAUAGGAUAUAAACCUAUGCCGCUACGCGUUUAUUAACAGCCUAAAUUAUCACUAUCAAAUCUACUCAUCACAUUAAGAAUAGUAGGUUCACAUUUGCCCGCAAAUGCGAUGAUAGAGGCAUGUAAUGCUUUGUUAUAAGGGGCAUUUAUGGUGAGAAAAAAAAAUGGAUUCCCAAAACUUGAAACCCACGCGAUACAUGCUAAAAGCUAGACUACAAGCUAUCGAGCUAACUCACUUAGUGUUGUUAACGCCUGGUUAGCAUACCAGUGAAACUAAACUCAAAAUCGAUAAGACUUGACCUUCCAAUGAUGAAAUGAUCGUAGCAAACCCUGUAUUGAAAGCAGUCUGGGUUGAGGUCUUGACGGGCAAAAAGGUUUCUUCGCUUUUCUGAGUUCUUGAGUCUUAUCUCAUUGGUAUUGCCAAUGGUGUUUCAUGAUUGCGGGGAAUCUGUAAACAUCUUUUCCGGCCUUGUUUGAGGAGCCAUAUACUCCACAGAAAAUGACCGUGGUGAUGAAUCCACUAGUUCUAGUCACUUUUAUCAUUCAGUUUGGGGUAGCCCCUCGGCUGUUUUCAGAAUAAUUAAUGCAGUGGUCUUCCAACAUGGCCGCCAGGAGGCGUUCUACGUCAACUGAAAGCUCUCCAGGGUUGC